This 658-nucleotide ribosomal RNA is filed under the name uncultured bacterium. RNAcentral's name for it is "bacterial SSU rRNA". It matches the Rfam family "Bacterial small subunit ribosomal RNA", at positions 187 to 848 of the family's 1533-position model. The record is from RNAcentral.
GCAUGUUCACAUGAUUAAAGGUAUUCCGGUAGACGAUGGGGAUGCGUUCCAUUAGAUAGUAGGCGGGGUAACGGCCCACCUAGUCUUCGAUGGAUAGGGGUUCUGAGAGGAAGGUCCCCCACAUUGGAACUGAGACACGGUCCAAACUCCUACGGGAGGCAGCAGUGAGGAAUAUUGGUCAAUGGGCGAGAGCCUGAACCAGCCAAGUAGCGUGAAGGAUGACUGCCCUAUGGGUUGUAAACUUCUUUUAUAAAGGAAUAAAGUCGGGUAUGCAUACCUGUUUGCAUGUACUUUAUGAAUAAGGAUCGGCUAACUCCGUGCCAGCAGCCGCGGCAAUACGGAGGAUCCGAGCGUUAUCCGGAUUUAUUGGGUUUAAAGGGAGCGUAGAUGGAUGUUUAAGUCAGUUGUGAAAGUUUGCGGCUCAACCGUAAAAUUGCAGUUGAUACUGGAUAUCUUGAGUGCAGUUGAGGCAGGCGGAAUUCGUGGUGUAGCGGUGAAAUGCUUAGAUAUCACGAAGAACUCCGAUUGCGAAGGCAGCCUGCUAAGCUGCAACUGACAUUGAGGCUCGAAAGUGUGGGUAUCAAACAGGAUUAGAUACCCUGGUAGUCCACACGGUAAACGAUGAAUACUCGCUGUUUGCGAUAUACAGCAAGCGGCC